Molecule: ribosomal RNA, 497 nt
Filed under: uncultured bacterium
Lineage: Bacteria
Description: partial 16S ribosomal RNA
Rfam family: Bacterial small subunit ribosomal RNA
Source: RNAcentral
GAUGAACGCUGGCGGCGUGCCUAAUACAUGCAAGUCGAGCGAACAGACGAGGAGCUUGCUCCUCUGACGUUAGCGGCGGACGUGUGAGUAACACGUGGAUAACCUACCUAUAAGACUGGGAUAACUUCGGGAAACCGGAGCUAAUACCGGAUAAUAUAUUGAACCGCAUGGUUCAAUAGUGAAAGACGGUUUUGCUGUCACUUAUAGAUGGAUCCGCGCCGCAUUAGCUAGUUGGUAAGGUAACGGCUUACCAAGGCAACGAUGCGUAGCCGACCUCAGAGGGUGAUCGGCCACCCUGGAACUGGGACACGGUCCAGACUCCUACGGGAGGCAGCAGUAGGGAAUCUUCCGCAAUGGGCGAAAGCCUGACGGAGCAACGCCGCGUGAGUGAUGAAGGUCUUCGGAUCGUAAAACUCUGUUAUUAGGGAAGAACAAAUGUGUAAGUAACUAUGCACGUCUUGACGGUACCUAAUCAGAAAGCCACGGCUAACUACGUG